CUUCCAUGUCCCUUCGAUUCGAUAUGGAUUCGAUAGACGUGCCUUGUAUUGCUGGUUGUUUCCUUCUAUCUUAGUUCGAAUAAAGCGUUUAUUUUUGUUGUGAUUGUUUAAAUAAAAUACUAAAGUACUGCCGUGACACGAUGCCUUAUACCGGUUAUUGGACAACCUUAAGAAAUGGAAGUUCAUUCUUGAACCUGGUACAUGCGCUAACAUUUCUAAAGGAUUGUGAAUAUAUCUCUAAAGAACAAGAAAUUAAUGAUAUGGUCAAGAUACGGUUUAAAUGGAUUGCAAAAAAAGUGGAGGAUUCAGAUAAUGGAGAAGUAAGUUAUCUAUUUUCAAUAUCAAAGCAUGAACUGGCUCAUCACCUCAACCACAAAGUAAAUAUAGUCAGUGAAAUUUUAAACUAUUCAAAGUUUGACAUUGAUACUUCCAAAGAUUGGUCAGAGUGGGAACUCAUGGGUUCU
Molecule: long non-coding RNA, 464 nt
Organism: Cydia fagiglandana
Lineage: Eukaryota; Metazoa; Arthropoda; Insecta; Lepidoptera; Tortricidae
Exons: 2
Source: RefSeq, a predicted model, not a curated record